This is a ribosomal RNA of Pteropus vampyrus (large flying fox), 119 nucleotides long. The record is from Ensembl. Lineage: Eukaryota; Metazoa; Chordata; Mammalia; Chiroptera; Pteropodidae.
GUCUACAGCCAUGCCACCCUGAAUAAGCCCUCUCCCGUCUCAUCUCAGAAGGUAAGCAGGGUCAGGCCUGGUUAGUACUUGGAUGGGAGACCACCUAGGAAGAUGAGAUGCUGUAGGCA